AGUGAACGCUGGCGGUAGGCCUAACACAUGCAAGUCGAACGGCAGCACAGUAAGAGCUUGCUCUUACGGGUGGCGAGUAGCGGACGGGUGAGGAAUACAUCGGAAUCUACUUUUUCGUGGGGGAUAACGUAGGGAAACUUACGCUAAUACCGCAUACGACCUACGGGUGAAAGCAGGGGAUCUUCGGACCUUGCGCGAUUGAAUGAGCCGAUGUCGGAUUAGCUAGUUGGCGGGGUAAAGGCCCACCAAGGCGACGAUCCGUAGCUGGUCUGAGAGGAUGAUCAGCCACACUGGAACUGAGACACGGUCCAGACUCCUACGGGAGGCAGCAGUGGGGAAUAUUGGACAAUGGGCGCAAGCCUGAUCCAGCCAUACCGCGUGGGUGAAGAAGGCCUUCGGGUUGUAAAGCCCUUUUGUUGGGAAAGAAAAGCAGCAGGUUAAUACCCCGCUAUUCUGACGGUACCCAAAGAAUAAGCACCGGCUAACUUCGUG
This 492-nucleotide ribosomal RNA is filed under the name uncultured bacterium. Its description in RNAcentral is "partial 16S ribosomal RNA". It matches the Rfam family "Bacterial small subunit ribosomal RNA", at positions 29 to 507 of the family's 1533-position model. The record is from RNAcentral.